Molecule: non-coding RNA, 1340 nt
Organism: Podarcis lilfordi (Lilford's wall lizard)
Lineage: Eukaryota; Metazoa; Chordata; Lepidosauria; Squamata; Lacertidae
Source: the annotation of a GenBank genome assembly
AUUGAAAAGCAAUGGAAGUGUUGCUCUAGUACAGUAGCUGCUGCCAUAGUGAGCAUGACAGAACAAUGGCUUUCCAUCAAGACUAUAUAGAGACUGCUGGACUUGGUGAGGACUGCAUGGAGACACCCCUAACAUGAAUUGCUGCCUCUGUACCUUAUGUGAUUGCAGCUGCCAUACAGAUGUUGAUGGUUCCAACAUGAACUCCACUGGGCUGAUGAUAUCAAGGAGACUGCCUAGGGUGUGAACCAGGCCAUGGUUGGAAACCCCAAGAUGUAACUUCAUGGUAAGAUUUCAAAGCUGCAAUCCCAGGUACGCUCACCUGGGGGGCAUUCCAUUGAACCCAGAAUUCAGAGUAGAUGUACAUAGGUGCUGAGCUGCCCAGGUGAAGCUUAUCUUUCUGCAAGACCAGCAUGGCUGUAAUUUUUUCUGAAUUUGACUGUUUUAUCUUUUGUAACCUGCUUUGAGGGUGUUGUUGUUUUGUUUUUUUACCAUCAAGCACUGUAUAAAUUUUAUGAAAUAAAUAGCUAGGUAAAUAAACCAGCCAACUUACUGACUUGGGGUAAUAAUAAUAAUAAUAAUAAUAAUAAUAAUGAUAAUAAUAAUAAUGCCGAUCUCUGGAUGCAGAAUCCGAAAGAGCUAAUCUAAGGUCUGUCUCACACGUGAAUAUUCAUCACUUGAUGACUGCAAAGCUAGGUGAUGACUUAAUGUGCGGGAGUCAGAUACAGGCACACAGAAUUCUCACACGGUGUGUGUCAGUGUUGGGUCUGUUCACACUUCCAGUUCUGGCAGUGGUCAGCAUGCACGCAGAAUGGGCUCCAGCAUCCGCUUUGGUACAUAUAUGUGACAGUAGCUCCCAUUUCACAAAGAGGAUGCUCAACAACUCACUAGAUAAUAUUAUAAGCAAUUACUGCAAGGAAGUGCCAGGAUACAGCAGAGAGCGGAGGCAGACGUGCUACACAAUGGAAUUGCUGCAGGCAGAACACCGAUGCCUUUAAUCCCCCACUCGUGCCACUCCCCACAAAUGGGGAGAAUUCAUGGAAUCACAUAAUUCUUUAAUGUCCGUGUACAUGUAUCUGGUAAUCAAAGCUUGGCUGCAAUCUUGUUAUUUGGUAAAGCAAAUAGAAAGAAAGACAAUGCAUGUAAUUUCUGAAAUUCUCCCCGCUUUACUUUUUUGACCUUUGGUAUUUGUACGUUAUCGAUGCUUUCUCUAAACCAUUGUACAAAAACACCUUGAAGUGUCAAGCUUUAAAAAUGAGUCUUCUUUUCUCUUUCUCCUCUGCAGCUUGGAUUAUCUUGGCCUUGUCAAAAUACAUUCUCUAGUUAGAGGUUGGAAAUAUUUC